Molecule: ribosomal RNA, 468 nt
Filed under: uncultured bacterium
Lineage: Bacteria
Description: partial 16S ribosomal RNA
Rfam family: Bacterial small subunit ribosomal RNA
Source: RNAcentral
GACGAACGCUGGCGGCGUGCUUAACACAUGCAAGUCGAACGGAAAGGCCCUGCUUUUGUUGGGUUCUCGAUUGGCGAACGGGUGAGUAACACGUGAGUAACCUGCCCUUGACUUUGGGAUAACUUCAGGAAACUGGGGCUCAUACCCGAUAGGAGCUCCUGCUGCGUGGUGGGGGUUGGAAAGUUUCGGCGGUUGGGGAUGGACUCGCGGCUUAUCAGCUUGUUUGUGGGGUAGUGGCUUACCAAGGCUUUGACGGGUAGCCGGCCUGAGAGGGUGACCGGCCACAUUGGGACUGCGAUACGGCCCAGACUGCUACGGGAGGCAGCAGUGGGGAAUAUUGCAGAAUGGGCGGAAGCCUGAUGCAGCAACGCCGCGUGCGGGAUGACGGCCUUCGGGUUGUAAACCGCUUUCGACUGUGACGAAGCGUGAGUGACGGUAAUGGGUAAAGAAGCACCGGCUAACUACGUG